Molecule: long non-coding RNA, 2474 nt
Organism: Patella vulgata (common limpet)
Lineage: Eukaryota; Metazoa; Mollusca; Gastropoda; Patellidae
Exons: 3
Source: RefSeq, a predicted model, not a curated record
CCAACCAUAUCAGAAAACACGCAGUUCCAUCUUACAGUGAGUUAAAUUGAUUUAAGGUUUAUUAUGUUAUGAAUAAUACAUUACGUGUCGCAUUUCGGAAUUUUUAGUAUAUUCAAUUUUUAACCGCUUUAACAACCACCAAUCAAUUAUCACAAUCACAACUAAUUCAGCAGAAUGGAUUCAAUAAUCAACACCGGAUUAUAUACUUUCUCAAUCGUUUUUUAAACUGCUUUAACAAUCACCAAUCAAUUGUCGUCAAUAAUCACAACUCACUGAGCAGAAUGGGUCCGAUAAUCAACACCAGGUUAUUGUUUAUUAUUUCAAUUUCUUUCAACAACAUAUAGAUUUAUUUUAAUUUCUUUCAAUUUAUUUCAACAACAUAUAGGAAAAGGUACGAAUCAAUUUGAGGUACAACUCAUGUGUGUAUUUAUAAAUUUAGCGCAGCCGUUGGAUUUACGAAAAAGAACUAAUCAAUUUGAGGUACAAAUCUCGUGCAUAUUCUAAUUCUAGUUUGUCAUAUUCAAUUUCUUUCAACUGAUUUCAACAACAUAGGAAAAGUUAAGAAUCAAUUUGAGGUACGAAAUGAGGUACGAAUGAACUAAGUACGAAACAGCCUGCACCCCUUUUGAUACGGUUUGAAGCCAUUCCUAUAGCUUUGUCUGAAAAUGAGCGACAGCUUGUAUAGAGAUCGACUAUUUGGCGCCAGUGAAAAAGUCUCACGAGAUUAUCACAGUGUCACGUGUCUUCUAGCGACGUGUACAGGUGAAAGGCUAUGUUCAUUCAUUUGUGAUUUAAAGAAAAUACAAUACCUGGGAUGUGCUUUACCGGUUUCCAAUGGUAUAAUAACAUUGGACGUGACUUACCGAUUUGUGAUGUAUUUGUCAAUGGUGGAGUCAUAUAAUACUAUGACCACGGUAUGGUGAGCAUCUAUGGGUGUGCACUUUUUUUAUAUUCACCUUUUUUAUUCGUACUUCGUACAUAAAUAACCGUAAUCAAAAUAAACGAUCGGAUAAACGACUUGCGAGAAAUUAAACGCUUCGUCUAAUAUUUAAACCCUGUAGAUAAAUUCAUCGGGUGUUAAUUUAUUUACGCAUCUCGGGAAAUUAAAGUGCUCGGCUAGUAAAUAAACCCAUUAUAUAAAUAAACGGAUCCUCCAUUUCUAAACACCUCUCGGAGAAAUUAAACGCUGUACCAUUAAAUUAAGCCAUAGAACUAAUUAAACGAUUUUUGUAAUUUUCAAGCGUUAUUAUCAAUUAUCAAACGAUGUUUUGAAAUUAAACUGUAUGCAUAGUUAUUAGUGCUAAAACAACCAUAUUAAACGAUACCAAUCUUAUAGUGUUUACCUGAGGGUGUUUUCUUCAGUGUCUACUGGCUACCUGAUCCUGUCCCUGGAAGUGAAGGGCAUUAAAAGACAUUUUCUGAUUUGUGUGGGACAGUCACCUCAGAAGAACACCGCCCGAGUCUUAACACCACAAAAGUUAAGAAGGACAUUAGGAAAAGAAAGAAGUUCAGCAAGUCAUUCCAGACGAAGUCCAACGCCACCCCAGGGCAAACAGUUAAAGCCAGGCCAGUGCAGGCUGACGAGAACCCAGAUGGUACUGGAGGAGUGGAUGAAAGUGUGCAGCCUCAAGCCAGUACUGAUGAUGACAUCCAGAUGGUUGAGAAUGAGGGAUCAAGUGGUGGGGACGAUGACGGUGAUGAUGAUUUUGGCAAAAUCGACAGAUGCUCUGCAGAGACGGCGAGAAAUUAUGUCCACUGCUUCAUGUGUGGAAAGCCAAGGGUGAUCUAUGCAAUGAAGAUGUUGACAAAAGAUCAAGCCAUCAAGAUCCAAAGGACCAUUGAAGAUGCCCUGUAUAGCUAUGGGGGAGGUCUGGACCUUGACUUCUGUGGCGUUGAGGCAGAGAUAACUUGUGAGAAUGAGAUAAGUCAACACUACUACAGUAGGCGGGUAAAUUUUCCACUUUGUUGUGCAAUUUGUGCAGAUGCAGACAUAACUGGAGGCUCAACGAUGGACAACAGGCCAGUCUGUGAAUACUGCACCACUUCUGGUGCAUUUCGCACUAGUAGUGCAAAACGCCUGAAGAAAAACUGACUUGAUUUUGAUUUCAUGAACUGUAUGUAGUUUCACAGACUUCGAAUGUGGUUUCAUGAACUGUAUGGACUUCUCUUUGAAAUAUUGCUUCAUUGAUUCCAUUGUUUUUAAAACUUUUCAGUUUAGUGUUAAAUGUUUUGUUGUGUUUUUGAAGUUUUGAUGGGGUGUGGGGGGUAAAGAAUCCAGGUGAGACAUUUUUUUUGUAAAUUUUUGUUAACUUGUGUAAUCUUCACUACCAAGAAGUGUGUUCCAAUAAAAGUGAAAGCUUUAUACAUGUACAAGUUUAUUAAAAGUAUAUGAUAUAAAUUCAUACAUUAGAGUAGUUAUGUUAUUAUUGUUAAAUUAACAAUCCAUUAGAUGUAGAUGGCAGCGCCACUGAACU